RNAcentral lists this long non-coding RNA (762 nucleotides) under Citrus x clementina. Its description in RNAcentral is "Citrus clementina (C. clementina) long non-coding RNA (CCLE_LNC004892)". Lineage: Eukaryota; Viridiplantae; Streptophyta; Magnoliopsida; Sapindales; Rutaceae. The record is from RNAcentral.
CGCGGCUGUGUCCGCGGCCUAUUUUUGGCACACGGAGGUGCCUCGCGAAGUCUCGCGCCAUUCCGAGACCAGAGGAUGAAGUUGGCCAGCCCCACCCCCCAAGGCUGUAGCCCACCCGUUUUUGUGGCCUUUUUCCGCUGGACAAACUUGGCGCCCCAGCCUUCGGGCAGUGAUUUUUGGGCGCGGCUGUGCCCGAAGCCUAUUUUUGGCACACGGAGGCCCCUCGCAAAGUCUCGCGCCAUUCCGAGUCCGGCGGACGAAGUUGGCCAGCCCCACCCCCCAAGGCUAUAGCCAACCCGUUUUUGUGGCCUUUUUCCGCUGGACGAACUUGGUGCCCCAGCCUUCGGCCGGUUAUUUUUGGGCGCAGCUUUGCCCGCGGCCUAUUUACUGCACACGGAGACCGCUCAUAAAGUCUCGUGGCAUUCCGAGUCCAGCGGACGAACUUGGCCAGCCCACCCCCCAAGGCUAUAGCCCACCCGUUGUUGUGGCCUUUUUCCGCUGGACGAACUUGGCUCCCCGGCCUUCGGGCGGUGAUUUUUGGGCGCGGCUGUGCCCGAAGCCUAUUUUUGGCACACGGAGGUGCCUCACGAAGUCUCGCGCCAUUCCGAGUCAUGCGGACGAAGUUGGCCAGCCCCACUCCCCAAGGCUAUAGCCCACCCGUUUUUGUGGCCUUUUUCCGCUGGACGAACUUGGCGCCCCGGCCUUCGGGCGGUUAUUUUUGGGCGCGGCUUUGCCCGCAGCCUAUUUUCUGCACACGGAGUC